GAACAACUCUCAGCAACGGAUAUCUCGGUUCUUGCAUCGAUGAAGAACGCAGCGAAAUGCGAUAAGUGGUGUGAAUUGCAGGAUCCCGUGAACCAUCGAGUCUUUGAACGCAAGUUGCGCCCAAGGCCAUCAGGCCAAGGGCACGCCUGCCUGGGCAUUGCGA
RNAcentral lists this ribosomal RNA (163 nucleotides) under Paphiopedilum jackii. Its description in RNAcentral is "5.8S ribosomal RNA". It matches the Rfam family "5.8S ribosomal RNA". From Rfam's summary of the family: 5.8S ribosomal RNA (5.8S rRNA) is a component of the large subunit of the eukaryotic ribosome. Lineage: Eukaryota; Viridiplantae; Streptophyta; Magnoliopsida; Asparagales; Orchidaceae. The record is from RNAcentral.